CAGUAGCCACGGUAAUACGAAGGGUGCAAGCGUUAAUCGGAAUUACUGGGCGUAAAGCGUGCGCAGGCGGUUUGUUAAGACAGAUGUGAAAUCCCCGGGCUCAACCUGGGAACUGCAUUUGUGACUGGCAAGCUAGAGUGUGGCAGAGGGGGGUGGAAUUCCGCGUGUAGCAGUGAAAUGCGUAGAUAUGCGGAGGAACACUGAUGGCGAAGGCAGCCCCCUGGGCCAACACUGACGCUCAUGCACGAAAGCGUGGGGAGCAAACAGGAUUAGAUACCCCUGUAGUCCCUGUCUCUUAUAC
This 301-nucleotide ribosomal RNA is filed under the name uncultured bacterium. RNAcentral describes it as "partial 16S ribosomal RNA". It matches the Rfam family "Bacterial small subunit ribosomal RNA", at positions 509 to 807 of the family's 1533-position model. The record is from RNAcentral.